AACGAACGCUGGCGGCAUGCCUAACACAUGCCAGUCGAACGAGACCUUCGGGUCUAGUGGCGCACGGGUGCGUAACGCGUGGGAACCUGCCCUUAGGUUCGGAAUAACUCCCCGAAAGGGGUGCUAAUACCGGAUAAUGUCUUCGGACCAAAGAUUUAUCGCCUUUGGAUGGGCCCGUGUUGGAUUAGCUAGUUGGUAGGGUAAAAGCCUACCAAGGCGACGAUCCAUAGCUGGUCUGAGAGGAUGAUCAGCCACACUGGGACUGAGACACGGCCCAGACUCCUACGGGAGGCAGCAGUGGGGAAUAUUGGACAAUGGGCGAAAGCCUGAUCCAGCAAUGCCGCGUGAGUGAUGAAGGCCUUAGGGUUGUAAAGCUCUUUUACCCGGGAUGAUAAUGACAGUACCGGGAGAAUAAGCUCCGGCUAACUCCGUG
This 433-nucleotide ribosomal RNA is filed under the name uncultured bacterium. Its description in RNAcentral is "partial 16S ribosomal RNA". It matches the Rfam family "Bacterial small subunit ribosomal RNA", at positions 29 to 507 of the family's 1533-position model. The record is from RNAcentral.